RNAcentral lists this transfer RNA (76 nucleotides) under Crocinitomicaceae bacterium. Its description in RNAcentral is "tRNA-Met". It matches the Rfam family "tRNA". Rfam says of the family: Transfer RNA (tRNA) molecules are approximately 80 nucleotides in length. Their secondary structure includes four short double-helical elements and three loops (D, anti-codon, and T loops). The record is from RNAcentral. Lineage: Bacteria; Pseudomonadati; Bacteroidota; Flavobacteriia; Flavobacteriales; Crocinitomicaceae.
CGCGGUGUGGAGCAGUUGGUAGCUCGUCGGGCUCAUAACCCGAAGGUCGCAGGUUCGAGUCCUGCCACCGCAACUA